RNAcentral lists this long non-coding RNA (813 nucleotides) under Phasianus colchicus (ring-necked pheasant). RNAcentral describes it as "lncRNA (ENSPCLG00000008135.1)". Lineage: Eukaryota; Metazoa; Chordata; Aves; Galliformes; Phasianidae. The record is from RNAcentral.
CUGGGAGUAGAUAAUUCUGGAGGUAGAAGAGAAGCCUCGUAGUAUCCCUGGCGAUCCUUUGUGUACAAACAAAUAGUUACGAUCUUCAGAGAAUACAUGCAUCUGUCCUCUGUUUCAGUUUGGGCCCAUCUCCAGACUGAGAUCCCAAGUGGAGCAUUAUCAUAACUCGAAUCGCUGUUUCCCGGAGGCUGCACGUCUCGCACACUGUCCUGCUGUGGCCGGGAACGCGCGAGGCUUGCGUCACCAUUGAGAACAUGUGGUUAUUCAUUCAUGUGGCACUUACCUUGGAUAUCCUCAGCAACCAGAGAAAGCAGCUCUUCAAAAUGUAUGGAGACAGCCACCAGAUCAUGGCAAUAUGCAAAAUACGUGGUGUUGUAACAGAAUUAUGAAGUGACCUCUGGGACAGUGGUGAGGUGUGAGAAGGAGGAGGAUCAGUAUUGUCUUCCCCAGCUGCUCGGCGGGUCCCUGGGUCACAUCUCUUUGGUUUAACCAAUUACCCAUACGUGGAAAAGAAGCUGCAGUAACUGUUCUGAGAGCAGGCUUUCAGCUCACAGGAAAUACGUGCCAGUUUAAGGUACAGUAAAAGACAUUCAUACUGUUGUAUCAAGGUGCUUUUGCCGCAAGGAAAAAUCAGGCUUGCAGGCAGCUGCCAGAUCUCAGCUGGUACCUCAGCCUUCUGAUUUAUGAAUCUGAACUCUGACCCUCAUCUCCAGUUCUGUUGGGAUCAGCCUGUGCUUAAGAGAUUUGCCAGCAUAGCUAUGCUAGCAAAACAGUCCCCGUGUAGACUCAUCUUUUACAGAAGGAAAAGUGCCU